UACGGAGGGGGCUAGCGUUGUUCGGAAUUACUGGGCGUAAAGCGUACGUAGGCGGCUUUGCAAGUUAGAGGUGAAAGCCUGGAGCUCAACUCCAGAACUGCCUUUAAAACUGCAUCGCUUGAAUCCAGGAGAGGUGAGUGGAAUUCCGAGUGUAGAGGUGAAAUUCGUAGAUAUUCGGAAGAACACCAGUGGCGAAGGCGGCUCACUGGACUGGUAUUGACGCUGAGGUACGAAAGCGUGGGGAGCAAACAGG
This 253-nucleotide ribosomal RNA is filed under the name uncultured bacterium. Its description in RNAcentral is "partial 16S ribosomal RNA". It matches the Rfam family "Bacterial small subunit ribosomal RNA", at positions 524 to 776 of the family's 1533-position model. The record is from RNAcentral.